AACCUGCUGAUAGAAUUGUCAAACAUCACACUUAUAUUCUGGAACCAAUUACAGGAAAUGCAAAGUAUAUUCUGGAUGAUGUCAUUCUCUGUUUAUCAAAGGAUGGAUACAAGGAUAUGUUAAAACUAGCUGAUAACUUUUCUGCCUUUAAUCAACGCUUAAAAUAUGCGCAUUUUCGUCCACAUGUUUCCGUGAAAUCUGAUCCUCGUUCUUGGUGGAAGUAUGCUUAUAGAGCUGUAUCUGACAAAGUGAAGAAGGGAAGAUUGAUGUAGGCAUUGGAUCUUCAUCAUUUGCAAAAUCACAGGACCCAGAAUGACUCAUUGAUAGUGGAUGUUUGCCAGGGUCAAUAUAAGUCGACACUGGUUUGCCCAGCUUGUGGAAAGAUUUCAAUCACUUUUGAUCCCUUCAUGUAUUUGUCGUUGCCGCUACCUUCAACUGCAACUCGGCAAAUAACCGUGACUGUGUUUUACGGCGAUGGAAGUGGUCUUCCUAUGCUAUAUACUGUUAGUUUGCUAAAGC
Humulus lupulus (European hop) is the source of this 519-nucleotide long non-coding RNA. RefSeq lists it as uncharacterized. The record is from RefSeq and is a predicted model, not a curated record. Lineage: Eukaryota; Viridiplantae; Streptophyta; Magnoliopsida; Rosales; Cannabaceae. The transcript has 4 exons.